RNAcentral lists this ribosomal RNA (492 nucleotides) under uncultured bacterium. RNAcentral describes it as "partial 16S ribosomal RNA". It matches the Rfam family "Bacterial small subunit ribosomal RNA", at positions 29 to 507 of the family's 1533-position model. The record is from RNAcentral.
AGUGAACGCUGGCGGUAGGCCUAACACAUGCAAGUCGAACGGCAGCACAGUAAGAGCUUGCUCUUACGGGUGGCGAGUGGCGGACGGGUGAGGAAUACAUCGGAAUCUACUUUUUCGUGGGGGAUAACGUAGGGAAACUUACGCUACUACCGCAUACGACCUACGGGUGAAAGCAGGGGAUCUUCGGACCUUGCGCGAUUGAAUGAGCCGAUGUCGGAUUAGCUAGUUGGCGGGGUAAAGGCCCACCAAGGCGACGAUCCGUAGCUGGUCUGAGAGGAUGAUCAGCCACACUGGAACUGAGACACGGUCCAGACUCCUACGGGAGGCAGCAGUGGGGAAUAUUGGACAAUGGGCGCAAGCCUGAUCCAGCCAUACCGCGUGGGUGAAGAAGGCCUUCGGGCUGUAAAGCCCUUUUGUUGGGAAAGAAAAGCAGCAGGUUAAUACCCCGCUGUUCUGACGGUACCCAAAGAAUAAGCACCGGCUAACUUCGUG